Molecule: non-coding RNA, 95 nt
Organism: Mycena latifolia
Lineage: Eukaryota; Fungi; Basidiomycota; Agaricomycetes; Agaricales; Mycenaceae
Source: the annotation of a GenBank genome assembly
GCGCCGGUGGGGUAGUGGUAACCUGGGUCGUUGCCACAAGUUGGAUUAUGUAAACACAAUUCGACCCGCCGGGGGUUCGAUUACCCCCCGGCGCA